This is a long non-coding RNA of Oncorhynchus tshawytscha (Chinook salmon), 1241 nucleotides long. Lineage: Eukaryota; Metazoa; Chordata; Actinopteri; Salmoniformes; Salmonidae. The record is from Ensembl.
AAGCCUAUAUCUUAUAUUUAUAGUAAACACAGAGACUAUGCGGUUGAGUCUGACUGCUCAAUAAAAUCCUCAUGUAUUAAACUUAAAGUAAAACACAGAUCGAUAGGCGGUAUAAGCAUCAAAUUCAAUCAAUCAUUUAAUCAUGACCUAUAGUUGUCUGUAUUUUACCUGUUAUUGACUGGGCACAGGUGUAGUCAGUGCCUGUUACGUUUGGACCAUAUGUCACACACAGUUGCUGAGACGGAAGAUUAUAUUUAUAUUUUCAAAAUAAAUAUUCAAAAUCAACACUCAAGAGAGAAAUACUAAUAUUUGUGUCAACUUCCAAGCAAGUCAGUCAGACAAGACAGACAAACUUGUUUUGGAAAUGCUUCUGCUUGCGAAGGACUGCGGAAGUGCUGCCGUUGUUUUUCAUCCUUCAGCGGCAAUGCAGUGUUUUCUGAGUUUGGCCUAAAUGCUAUUUCCAGAUUAUGGUACACAGUACUGGGUUAUUAGCCGCGUUAGAGGUAAAAGUCCCUCGGAAAGGUUACUGGUGCUGCGCGAGGAUUUAGAUAGUCCAUCUGUCAUGAUGCGCAGGGCUUGUCGCCUUUUUCUGCUGUUUUUUUUUUCUGUCUUCUUUUUUUCUCCGACUAGCGGUAUGUGGAAUCUCUCGCACUGCGAUCUACCUACAUCCUUCCGAAAAUAAUAUUCCGAAUAAAGGAAUAAAAAUCACACAGAAAUAAAACAGAAUAGCCAAAAUAUUCGGAUCCAGAGAUAUUCAGAUAGAUUCUGCAGGUCUGGGGUCCUUAUCUGCUAUGCAGUAACUUCACCAGUCAGUCUGUGAGCCAGUGUGAUGUAACAACAUCAGCAUAGGCAGCACCAGCGCAGGGGAGAGCGGAGGGGAAGGAGGAUAUGUAGGAUAUGUUGAUGAAUGAACGAGCAACAGAAUCGGCCAGUUUAAUGAGAGGACCGGAAGAGGCCGGACGCGGAAGCAGCAGGAGCAAUGUGGUAGGUUGCUCCCAUCAACUGCAGUGUCCAUCAGCAGGGCCAGCAGACCAUGUGAAGAGCCGUGUGGCUGAGAAUGCUGCAGAACGUUACCUGACCCAGCCUGGGAUGAUGAUGAUGAUGAUGUAGACUAGUGGGAUGGAGAGAGACUGGAAGGAUGCUCAGUCUAUUAUGCGACAGACAUGAUGAGUUACAGAUCAUCAAGGACAACAACCACCUGAAGCCACGGCCUGUUCACCCCGCUACCAUCCAGAAGACCA